GGUUAAGCGACUAAGCGUACACGGUGGAUGCCCUGGCAGUCAGAGGCGAUGAAGGACGUGCUAAUCUGCGAUAAGCGUCGGUAAGGUGAUAUGAACCGUUAUAACCGGCGAUUUCCGAAUGGGGAAACCCAGUGUGUUUCGACACACUAUCAUUAACUGAAUCCAUAGGUUAAUGAGGCGAACCGGGGGAACUGAAACAUCUAAGUACCCCGAGGAAAAGAAAUCAACCGAGAUUCCCCCAGUAGCGGCGAGCGAACGGGGAGGAGCCCAGAGCCUGAAUCAGUGUGUGUGUUAGUGGAAGCGUCUGGAAAGGCGCGCGAUACAGGGUGACAGCCCCGUACACAAAAAUGCACAUACUGUGAGCUCGAUGAGUAGGGCGGGACACGUGGUAUCCUGUCUGAAUAUGGGGGGACCAUCCUCCAAGGCUAAAUACUCCUGACUGACCGAUAGUGAACCAGUACCGUGAGGGAAAGGCGAAAAGAACCCCGGCGAGGGGAGUGAAAAAGAACCUGAAACCGUGUACGUACAAGCAGUGGGAGCCUCUUUUAUGGGGUGACUGCGUACCUUUUGUAUAAUGGGUCAGCGACUUAUAUUCUGUAGCAAGGUUAACCGAAUAGGGGAGCCGAAGGGAAACCGAGUCUUAACUGGGCGUUAAGUUGCAGGGUAUAGACCCGAAACCCGGUGAUCUAGCCAUGGGCAGGUUGAAGGUUGGGUAACACUAACUGGAGGACCGAACCGACUAAUGUUGAAAAAUUAGCGGAUGACUUGUGGCUGGGGGUGAAAGGCCAAUCAAACCGGGAGAUAGCUGGUUCUCCCCGAAAGCUAUUUAGGUAGCGCCUCGUGAAUUCAUCUCCGGGGGUAGAGCACUGUUUCGGCAAGGGGGUCAUCCCGACUUACCAACCCGAUGCAAACUGCGAAUACCGGAGAAUGUUAUCACGGGAGACACACGGCGGGUGCUAACGUCCGUCGUGAAGAGGGAAACAACCCAGACCGCCAGCUAAGGUCCCAAAGUCAUGGUUAAGUGGGAAACGAUGUGGGAAGGCCCAGACAGCCAGGAUGUUGGCUUAGAAGCAGCCAUCAUUUAAAGAAAGCGUAAUAGCUCACUGGUCGAGUCGGCCUGCGCGGAAGAUGUAACGGGGCUAAACCAUGCACCGAAGCUGCGGCAGCGACGCUUAUGCGUUGUUGGGUAGGGGAGCGUUCUGUAAGCCUGUGAAGGUGUACUGUGAGGUAUGCUGGAGGUAUCAGAAGUGCGAAUGCUGACAUAAGUAACGAUAAAGCGGGUGAAAAGCCCGCUCGCCGGAAGACCAAGGGUUCCUGUCCAACGUUAAUCGGGGCAGGGUGAGUCGACCCCUAAGGCGAGGCCGAAAGGCGUAGUCGAUGGGAAACAGGUUAAUAUUCCUGUACUUGGUGUUACUGCGAAGGGGGGACGGAGAAGGCUAUGUUGGCCGGGCGACGGUUGUCCCGGUUUAAGCGUGUAGGCUGGUUUUCCAGGCAAAUCCGGAAAAUCAAGGCUGAGGCGUGAUGACGAGGCACUACGGUGCUGAAGCAACAAAUGCCCUGCUUCCAGGAAAAGCCUCUAAGCAUCAGGUAACAUCAAAUCGUACCCCAAACCGACACAGGUGGUCAGGUAGAGAAUACCAAGGCGCUUGAGAGAACUCGGGUGAAGGAACUAGGCAAAAUGGUGCCGUAACUUCGGGAGAAGGCACGCUGAUAUGUAGGUGAAGCGACUUGCUCGUGGAGCUGAAAUCAGUCGAAGAUACCAGCUGGCUGCAACUGUUUAUUAAAAACACAGCACUGUGCAAACACGAAAGUGGACGUAUACGGUGUGACGCCUGCCCGGUGCCGGAAGGUUAAUUGAUGGGGUUAGCGGUAACGCGAAGCUCUUGAUCGAAGCCCCGGUAAACGGCGGCCGUAACUAUAACGGUCCUAAGGUAGCGAAAUUCCUUGUCGGGUAAGUUCCGACCUGCACGAAUGGCGUAAUGAUGGCCAGGCUGUCUCCACCCGAGACUCAGUGAAAUUGAACUCGCUGUGAAGAUGCAGUGUACCCGCGGCAAGACGGAAAGACCCCGUGAACCUUUACUAUAGCUUGACACUGAACAUUGAGCCUUGAUGUGUAGGAUAGGUGGGAGGCUUUGAAGUGUGGACGCCAGUCUGCAUGGAGCCGGCCUUGAAAUACCACCCUUUAAUGUUUGAUGUUCUAACGUUGGCCCGUAAUC
This 2216-nucleotide ribosomal RNA is filed under the name Escherichia coli. RNAcentral describes it as "partial 23S ribosomal RNA". It matches the Rfam family "Bacterial large subunit ribosomal RNA", at positions 1 to 2240 of the family's 2925-position model. Lineage: Bacteria; Pseudomonadati; Pseudomonadota; Gammaproteobacteria; Enterobacterales; Enterobacteriaceae. The record is from RNAcentral.